CCUCAAAUAAGUAAUGCCAAACAGGACUAUGUAUCGUGAUACCAUGCUGACUAAACAGAAAUGACUGACGAAUAAAAACAAUGAUGACCAAUGCCCGAAAUGCGAAAAACAAGCAAAUCAACACUCAACAUGCCGACUGUCAAAAUGAAAGCAUCAACACUAAUAAGUCAACAAUCUGUCAGGCCCUGCCAUCAUGGAAGAU
Molecule: long non-coding RNA, 202 nt
Filed under: Vitis vinifera (wine grape)
Lineage: Eukaryota; Viridiplantae; Streptophyta; Magnoliopsida; Vitales; Vitaceae
Description: long non-coding RNA (VVIN_LNC005476)
Source: RNAcentral